Molecule: non-coding RNA, 268 nt
Organism: Fukomys damarensis (Damara mole-rat)
Lineage: Eukaryota; Metazoa; Chordata; Mammalia; Rodentia; Bathyergidae
Source: Rfam
GGAUGUGAGGACGAUCUGGCUGAGACAUCUGUUGCCCCACUGAUCGCCAGGGUUGUUCCGGCUGACCUGGCUGGCUAGGCGGUGUCCCCUUCCUCCCUCACCGCUCCACGUGCGUCCCUCCCGAAGUUGCGCGUUCUGUCCAAGAACCCGGAUAGAGGAGGACCGGUUCCUGAGUCAAGGGUAUACGCUAGCUGCGCUCCCCUGCUAGAACCUCCAAACAAGCUCUCAAACACUGCCUUCCUGCCGGGCAGCGCGGUGUCCCAGUGUG